This 2898-nucleotide ribosomal RNA is filed under the name Klebsiella pneumoniae. RNAcentral's name for it is "bacterial LSU rRNA". It matches the Rfam family "Bacterial large subunit ribosomal RNA". Lineage: Bacteria; Pseudomonadati; Pseudomonadota; Gammaproteobacteria; Enterobacterales; Enterobacteriaceae. The record is from RNAcentral.
UUAAGCGACUAAGCGUACACGGUGGAUGCCCUGGCAGUCAGAGGCGAUGAAGGACGUGCUAAUCUGCGAAAAGCGUCGGUAAGGUGAUAUGAACCGUUACAGCCGGCGAUGUCCGAAUGGGGAAACCCAGUGCAAUUCGUUGCACUAUCGUUAACUGAAUACAUAGGUUAACGAGGCGAACCGGGGGAACUGAAACAUCUAAGUACCCCGAGGAAAAGAAAUCAACCGAGAUUCCCCCAGUAGCGGCGAGCGAACGGGGAGCAGCCCAGAGUCUGAAUCAGCUUGUGUGUUAGUGGAACGGUCUGGAAAGUCCGACGGUACAGGGUGAUAGUCCCGUACACCAAAAUGCACAGGCUGUGAACUCGAAGAGUAGGGCGGGACACGUGGUAUCCUGUCUGAAUAUGGGGGGACCAUCCUCCAAGGCUAAAUACUCCUGACUGACCGAUAGUGAACCAGUACCGUGAGGGAAAGGCGAAAAGAACCCCGGCGAGGGGAGUGAAAAAGAACCUGAAACCGUGUACGUACAAGCAGUGGGAGCACCUUCGGGUGUGACUGCGUACCUUUUGUAUAAUGGGUCAGCGACUUAUAUUCUGUAGCAAGGUUAACCGUAUAGGGGAGCCGCAGGGAAACCGAGUCUUAACUGGGCGUUAAGUUGCAGGGUAUAGACCCGAAACCCGGUGAUCUAGCCAUGGGCAGGUUGAAGGUUGGGUAACACUAACUGGAGGACCGAACCGACUAAUGUUGAAAAAUUAGCGGAUGACUUGUGGCUGGGGUGAAAGGCCAAUCAAACCGGGAGAUAGCUGGUUCUCCCCGAAAGCUAUUUAGGUAGCGCCUCGUGAACUCAUCUUCGGGGGUAGAGCACUGUUUCGGCUAGGGGGUCAUCCCGACUUACCAACCCGAUGCAAACUACGAAUACCGAAGAAUGUUAUCACGGGAGACACACGGCGGGUGCUAACGUCCGUCGUGAAGAGGGAAACAACCCAGACCGCCAGCUAAGGUCCCAAAGUCAUGGUUAAGUGGGAAACGAUGUGGGAAGGCACAGACAGCCAGGAUGUUGGCUUAGAAGCAGCCAUCAUUUAAAGAAAGCGUAAUAGCUCACUGGUCGAGUCGGCCUGCGCGGAAGAUGUAACGGGGCUAAACCAUGCACCGAAGCUGCGGCAGCGACACUAUGUGUUGUUGGGUAGGGGAGCGUUCUGUAAGCCUGCGAAGGUGACCUGUGAGGGUUGCUGGAGGUAUCAGAAGUGCGAAUGCUGACAUAAGUAACGAUAAAGCGGGUGAAAAGCCCGCUCGCCGGAAGACCAAGGGUUCCUGUCCAACGUUAAUCGGGGCAGGGUGAGUCGACCCCUAAGGCGAGGCCGAAAGGCGUAGUCGAUGGGAAACAGGUUAAUAUUCCUGUACUUGGUGUUACUGCGAAGGGGGGACGGAGAAGGCUAUGUUAGCCGGGCGACGGUUGUCCCGGUUUAAGCAUGUAGGCUGGUUAUCCAGGCAAAUCCGGAUAAUCAAGGCUGAGGUGUGAUGACGAGGCACUACGGUGCUGAAGUAACAAAUGCCCUGCUUCCAGGAAAAGCCUCUAAGCAUCAGGUAACAUCAAAUCGUACCCCAAACCGACACAGGUGGUCAGGUAGAGAAUACCAAGGCGCUUGAGAGAACUCGGGUGAAGGAACUAGGCAAAAUGGUGCCGUAACUUCGGGAGAAGGCACGCUGGUGUGUAGGUGAAGUCCCUGCGGAUGGAGCUGAGACCAGUCGAAGAUACCAGCUGGCUGCAACUGUUUAUUAAAAACACAGCACUGUGCAAACACGAAAGUGGACGUAUACGGUGUGACGCCUGCCCGGUGCCGGAAGGUUAAUUGAUGGGGUUAUCCGUAAGGAGAAGCUCUUGAUCGAAGCCCGGUAAACGGCGGCCGUAACUAUAACGGUCCUAAGGUAGCGAAAUUCCUUGUCGGGUAAGUUCCGACCUGCACGAAUGGCGUAAUGAUGGCCAGGCUGUCUCCACCCGAGACUCAGUGAAAUUGAACUCGCUGUGAAGAUGCAGUGUACCCGCGGCAAGACGGAAAGACCCCGUGAACCUUUACUAUAGCUUGACACUGAACAUUGAGCCUUGAUGUGUAGGAUAGGUGGGAGGCUUUGAAGCGUGGACGCCAGUCUGCGUGGAGCCAACCUUGAAAUACCACCCUUUAAUGUUUGAUGUUCUAACGUUGGCCCCUUACCGGGGUUGCGGACAGUGUCUGGUGGGUAGUUUGACUGGGGCGGUCUCCUCCCAAAGCGUAACGGAGGAGCACGAAGGUUAGCUAAUCCUGGUCGGACAUCAGGAGGUUAGUGCAAUGGCAUAAGCUAGCUUGACUGCGAGCGUGACGGCGCGAGCAGGUGCGAAAGCAGGUCAUAGUGAUCCGGUGGUUCUGAAUGGAAGGGCCAUCGCUCAACGGAUAAAAGGUACUCCGGGGAUAACAGGCUGAUACCGCCCAAGAGUUCAUAUCGACGGCGGUGUUUGGCACCUCGAUGUCGGCUCAUCACAUCCUGGGGCUGAAGUAGGUCCCAAGGGUAUGGCUGUUCGCCAUUUAAAGUGGUACGCGAGCUGGGUUUAGAACGUCGUGAGACAGUUCGGUCCCUAUCUGCCGUGGGCGCUGGAGAAUUGAGGGGGGCUGCUCCUAGUACGAGAGGACCGGAGUGGACGCAUCACUGGUGUUCGGGUUGUCAUGCCAAUGGCACUGCCCGGUAGCUAAAUGCGGAAGAGAUAAGUGCUGAAAGCAUCUAAGCACGAAACUUGCCCCGAGAUGAGUUCUCCCUGAGACUUUAAGUCUCCUGAAGGAACGUUAAAGACGAUGACGUUGAUAGGCCGGGUGUGUAAGCGCAGCGAUGCGUUGAGCUAACCGGUACUAAUGAACCGUGAGGCUUAACCUU